Molecule: ribosomal RNA, 804 nt
Filed under: Proteocephalus sp. JDC-2005
Lineage: Eukaryota; Metazoa; Platyhelminthes; Cestoda; Proteocephalidea; Proteocephalidae
Description: SSU rRNA
Rfam family: Eukaryotic small subunit ribosomal RNA
Source: RNAcentral
GACGAUCCGUGGUGGUAGUCCAUCAACCUUCCCCACGGGCAGUCCCCGGGAAACCUUUAAGUCUUUGGGUUCCGGGGGAAGUAUGGUUGCAAAGCUGAAACUUAAAGGAAUUGACGGAAGGGCACCACCAGGAGUGGAGCCUGCGGCUUAAUUUGACUCAACACGGGAAAACUCACCCGGCCCGGACACUAUGAGGAUUGACAGAUUGAUAGCUCUUUCUUGAUUUGGUGGUUGGUGGUGCAUGGCCGUUCUUAGUUGGUGGAGCGAUUUGUCUGGUUAAUUCCGAUAACGAACGAGACUCCUGCCUGCUAAUUAGUGCAUCUGUCUACUGUACCUGCGUAGGCGGUGUUUGGCGAGGCUGCUCCUAUACGCUGCUCCGGCUCGGUUGGCUUUCGGGUUGACUGUUGCUGGUGUAGUUGGGGUGGCUGGUCCGGCAUUAGCUUCCGGGUGCGGCGCGGGUGUCUACUUCUUAGAGGGACAAGCGGGAGAAGCCGCACGAAAUGGAGCAAUAACAGGUCUGUGAUGCCCUUAGAUGUCCGGGGCCGCACGCGCGCUACAAUGACGGUGGCAAUGAGUCUGACCUUCUGGCCCGAAAGGGUUGGGCAAACUGGUCAAUCACCGUCAUGACAGGGAUCGGGGCUUGGAAUUGUUCCCCGUGAACGAGGAAUUCCUAGUAAGUGCAAGUCAUAAGCUUGCGCUGAUUACGUCCCUGCCCUUUGUACACACCGCCCGUCGCUACUACCGAUUGAAUGGUUUAGUAAGGUCCUUGGAUUGCCCAUUGUGGUGGUCACCGAAAGGUGGCUG